CGGUACCUAACCAGAAAGCCACGGCUAACUACGUGCCAGCAGCCGCGGUAAUACGUAGGUGGCAGCGUUGUCCGGAUUUAUUGGGCGUAAAGCGCUCGCGGGCGGUCUUUUAAGUCUGAUGUGAAAGCCCACGGCUUAACCGUGGAGGGUCAUUGGAAACUGGAGGACUUGAGUGCAGAAGAGGAGAGUGGAAUUCCAUGUGUAGCGGUGAAAUGCGUAGAGAUAUGGAGGAACACCAGUGGCGAAGGCGACUCUCUGGUCUGUAACUGACGCUGAGGAGCGAAAGCGUGGGUAGCGAACAGGAUUAGAUACCCUGGUAGUCCACGCCGUAAACGAUGAGUGCUAGGUGUUAGGGGGUUUCCGCCCCUUAGUGCUGAAGUUAACGCAUUAAGCACUCCGCCUGGGGAGUACGGCCGCAAGGCUGAAACUCAAAAGAAUUGACGGGGACCCGCACAAGCGGUGGAGCAUGUGGUUUAAUUCGAAGCAACGCGAAGAACCUUACCAGGUCUUGACAUCCUUUCGACCUCCCUAGAGAUAGGGAUUUCCCUUCGGGGACGAAAGUGACAGGUGGUGCAUGGUUGUCGUCAGCUCGUGUCGUGAGAUGUUGGGUUAAGUCCCGCAACGAGCGCAACCCUUGAUCUUAGUUGCCAGCAUUAAGUUGGGCACUCUAAGGUGACUGCCGGUGACAAACCGGAGGAAGGUGGGGAUGACGUCAAAUCAUCAUGCCCCUUAUGACCUGGGCUACACACGUGCUACAAUGGAUGGUACAAAGGGCAGCGAAACCGCAAGGUCAAGCAAAUCCCAUAAAACCAUUCUCAGUUCGGAUUGUAGGCUGCAACUCGCCUACAUGAAGCCGGAAUCGCUAGUAAUCGCGGAUCAGCAUGCCGCGGUGAAUACGUUCCCGGGUCUUGUACACACCGCCCUCACACCACGAGAGUUGGUAACACCCGAAGUCGGUGAGGUAACCUUUUGGAGCCAGCCGCCGAAGGUGAACCAAAG
Molecule: ribosomal RNA, 999 nt
Filed under: Oceanobacillus caeni
Lineage: Bacteria; Bacillati; Bacillota; Bacilli; Caryophanales; Bacillaceae
Description: bacterial SSU rRNA
Rfam family: Bacterial small subunit ribosomal RNA
Source: RNAcentral